RNAcentral lists this ribosomal RNA (821 nucleotides) under human gut metagenome. RNAcentral's name for it is "bacterial SSU rRNA". It matches the Rfam family "Bacterial small subunit ribosomal RNA", at positions 501 to 1320 of the family's 1533-position model. The record is from RNAcentral.
CUACGUGCCAGCAGCCGCGGUAAUACGUAGGGUGCAAGCGUUAUCCGGAAUUAUUGGGCGUAAAGGGCUCGUAGGCGGUUCGUCGCGUCCGGUGUGAAAGUCCAUCGCUUAACGGUGGAUCCGCGCCGGGUACGGGCGGGCUUGAGUGCGGUAGGGGAGACUGGAAUUCCCGGUGUAACGGUGGAAUGUGUAGAUAUCGGGAAGAACACCAAUGGCGAAGGCAGGUCUCUGGGCCGUCACUGACGCUGAGGAGCGAAAGCGUGGGGAGCGAACAGGAUUAGAUACCCUGGUAGUCCACGCCGUAAACGGUGGAUGCUGGAUGUGGGGACCAUUCCACGGUCUCCGUGUCGGAGCCAACGCGUUAAGCAUCCCGCCUGGGGAGUACGGCCGCAAGGCUAAAACUCAAAGAAAUUGACGGGGGCCCGCACAAGCGGCGGAGCAUGCGGAUUAAUUCGAUGCAACGCGAAGAACCUUACCUGGGCUUGACAUGUUCCCGACAGCCGUAGAGAUACGGUCUCCCUUCGGGGCGGGUUCACAGGUGGUGCAUGGUCGUCGUCAGCUCGUGUCGUGAGAUGUUGGGUUAAGUCCCGCAACGAGCGCAACCCCCGCCCCGUGUUGCCAGCACGUUAUGGUGGGAACUCACGGGGGACCGCCGGGGUCAACUCGGAGGAAGGUGGGGAUGACGUCAGAUCAUCAUGCCCCUUACGUCCAGGGCUUCACGCAUGCUACAAUGGCCGGUACAACGGGAUGCGACACCGCGAGGUGGAGCGGAUCCCUUAAAACCGGUCUCAGUUCGGAUUGGAGUCUGCAACCCGACUCCA